Molecule: ribosomal RNA, 409 nt
Filed under: bacterium
Lineage: Bacteria
Description: partial 16S ribosomal RNA
Rfam family: Bacterial small subunit ribosomal RNA
Source: RNAcentral
UGGGGAAUAUUGCACAAUGGGCGAAAGCCUGAUGCAGCGACGCCGCGUGAGGGAUGACGGCCUUCGGGUUGUAAACCUCUUUCAGUAGGGACGAAGCGCAAGUGACGGUACCUGCAGAAGAAGCACCGGCUAACUACGUGCCAGCAGCCGCGGUAAUACGUAGGGUGCGAGCGUUGUCCGGAAUUACUGGGCGUAAAGAGCUCGUAGGCGGUUUGUCACGUCGUCUGUGAAAUCCUAGGGCUUAACCCUGGACGUGCAGGAGAUACGGGCUGACUUGAGUACUACAGGGGAGACUGGAAUUUCUGGUGUAGCGGUGGAAUGCACAGAUAUCAGGAAGAACACCGAUGGCGAAGGCAGGUCUCUGGGUAGUAACUGACGCUGAGGAGCGAAAGCAUGGGUAGCGAACAGG